UACGUAGGGUGCAAGCGUUGUCCGGAAUUAUUGGGCGUAAAGAGCUCGUAGGCGGUUUGUCGCGUCGUCUGUGAAAACCCGCAGCUCAACUGCGGGCUUGCAGGCGAUACGGGCAGACUUGAGUACUGCAGGGGAGACUGGAAUUCCUGGUGUAGCGGUGAAAUGCGCAGAUAUCAGGAGGAACACCGGUGGCGAAGGCGGGUCUCUGGGCAGUAACUGACGCUGAGGAGCGAAAGCGUGGGUAGCGAACAGG
Molecule: ribosomal RNA, 253 nt
Filed under: uncultured bacterium
Lineage: Bacteria
Description: partial 16S ribosomal RNA
Rfam family: Bacterial small subunit ribosomal RNA
Source: RNAcentral